CUCUGUUUCAGAAACCUGGACAAUCCAUCCUGACGCUGCGUGUGUGAUGAACUGCUUGUCGCACGUUUCGUCAUACGCAACCGCCAUUUUCAGAACGAAGGGUCGGUUCGUGGCGAUGAGUUUUCUGUACAGACCUUGUUCGUGGAAAAGAAAAUUGGACCUUUCGUGUGGGGUGAAGUGCAUCAACUUAGAAUCAACUUGAUUCCAUGUUCAGCUCUGCUGAUCUCGAAGCAAAGCCGGCAGCAGCAUCAGCAGCAAGACGACAUAGUCUCGUUCACCGAGGAAGUCAGAAGCUGAACCGGUUGUGGAGCUGGCAAAAGAUGCCUUCUAUGUAGUGCGCAAAGGAGAUAUUGUUGGUGUUUAUAAGAGUUUCGGCGAUUGUCAGGCUCAGCUUAGUUCUUCGAUAUUUGAUCCUCCGAUUAGUGUGUACAAAGGGUACUCUUUGCCUAAGGACACUGAAGAGUAUCUUGGUUCAUGUGGACUUACGAAUGCCAUUUACACAAUCGCGGCUGCAGAUUUGAAGGACGAUAUUUUUGGCAAGCUUAUGCAUUCCCCUUUUCAAGAUCCAGCAUCUUUGCAAGGUGGAGCAUCUGUCACGGAUGCGCUUGAAAGGAGAUCCCAUGAAGUGCCUGCAUCAGAUAAUUUGCUGCACUGAAAGUAUUGUCAUACUUGCCUUUCCCUUACUCUGCUUUAAGCGCAUUCAUGGUAAUCCCAACUCCUCAGAGAGAGGUUGUCAAUGAUUAUGUUGCCAAACGGCGCUAUGACAUCUUCGGCAAGUCUGAAGAUUGCUUAGUCUUGCAAGAGAAAGAGUUGCUGGAGCGUUUCAUUGAUAGGGAAGAGAUAAUGUAUCGAGCUCGAUCAGAUUUUUAAUUAGCUCCCAUAAAUCUAGCUAUCACCUACGUUUUGGUUAUGGUUGAUAUAAAGAAAUGAAAUAAAAUAUAUCAUUCUGUAUACAAUGUGCCCAUUUUGAUUACCACAAU
Prunus avium (sweet cherry) is the source of this 980-nucleotide long non-coding RNA. RefSeq lists it as uncharacterized. The record is from RefSeq and is a predicted model, not a curated record. Lineage: Eukaryota; Viridiplantae; Streptophyta; Magnoliopsida; Rosales; Rosaceae.